RNAcentral lists this ribosomal RNA (450 nucleotides) under uncultured bacterium. Its description in RNAcentral is "bacterial SSU rRNA". It matches the Rfam family "Bacterial small subunit ribosomal RNA", at positions 335 to 799 of the family's 1533-position model. The record is from RNAcentral.
ACUCCUACGGGAGGCAGCAGUGGGGAAUAUUGGACAAUGGGCGCAAGCCUGAUCCAGCCAUGCCGCGUGAGUGAUGAAGGCCCUAGGGUUGUAAAGCUCUUUCAGCGAGGAGGAUAAUGACGUUACUCGCAGAAGAAGCCCGGCUAACUUCGUGCCAGCAGCCGCGGUAAUACGAAGGGGGCUAGCGUUGUUCGGAAUCACUGGGGCGUAAAGCGCACGUAGGCGGACUUUUAAGUCAGGGGUGAAAUCCCGGGGCUCAACCCCGGAACCUGCCUUUGAUACUGGAAGUCUUGAGUCCGAGAGAGGUGAGUGGAACUCCGAGUGUAGAGGUGAAAUUCGUAGAUAUUCGGAAGAACACCAGUGGCGAAGGCGGCUCACUGGCUCGGUACUGACGCUGAGGUGCGAAAGCGUGGGGGAGCAAACAGGAUUAGAUACCCUGGUAGGAUAGCG